UUUCCGUAGGUGAACCUGCGGAAGGAUCAUUACAGAGUCCGCCUACUUGUAGGCACCUCUCACCCUUGAAUACAUACCUUUGUUGCUUUGGCGGGCCGGGUGCCCACGCGCCGCCGGCCCAGGCUGGAGAGCGCCCGCCAGAGGACCAUUUAAACCCUGCUCACGGUGUAAUCUGAGUACAAACAAAAAUUGAAUCAAAACUUUCAACAACGGAUCUCUUGGUUCUGGCAUCGAUGAAGAACGCAGC
RNAcentral lists this unclassified non-coding RNA (247 nucleotides) under uncultured fungus. RNAcentral describes it as "sequence contains ITS1, 5.8S rRNA gene". The stretch from base 199 to 247 matches the Rfam family "5.8S ribosomal RNA", at positions 1 to 49 of the family's 154-position model. The record is from RNAcentral. Lineage: Eukaryota; Fungi.